UAUGGAGUUUGCCUAAUGUCGAAAUGAUCUAUUAUAGGCAUCUCAACAUGCAAUUUUUCUCUUUGCCAGGAUCCCACAAACAUGGAAGAACUUUUCUAUGAGUUGCUCCAAAAAUAGUUGUAGUAAAUAGAAAAAUAGGGAAUAAAUGAAACGGGAUGCAGGUGAGAAAGGAAGCUGAAACGGAUGCAGGGGUUAGGAAAUUGAAAGAACGCUUAAUGAGACUGAACGGGAUGGGAUGGAUGACACAGUAGUCUGCAGCAAGUUUCU
Long non-coding RNA from Juglans microcarpa x Juglans regia, 267 nucleotides. RefSeq lists it as uncharacterized. The record is from RefSeq and is a predicted model, not a curated record. NCBI's taxonomy places the organism in Eukaryota, Viridiplantae, Streptophyta, Magnoliopsida, Fagales, Juglandaceae. The transcript is spliced from 2 exons.